AACCGUAUUUAAAGGGCCAGAAGGAGGAGGAAAAGUAAUAGUGGAGCUGGCCUCACAGUGCUUACAGUCUGUGGGCUAGUUUCAAACAAGG
This 91-nucleotide small nucleolar RNA is filed under the name Myotis lucifugus (little brown bat). RNAcentral's name for it is "Small nucleolar RNA SNORA61 (ENSMLUG00000021301.1)". The record is from RNAcentral. Lineage: Eukaryota; Metazoa; Chordata; Mammalia; Chiroptera; Vespertilionidae.